This 31-nucleotide small RNA is filed under the name Bombyx mori (domestic silkworm). Its description in RNAcentral is "ovarian small RNA-32474". Lineage: Eukaryota; Metazoa; Arthropoda; Insecta; Lepidoptera; Bombycidae. The record is from RNAcentral.
UGAUAGUCAGUUGCGGGCGCCUCCGCCUCAA